This 724-nucleotide ribosomal RNA is filed under the name uncultured Borreliella sp. Its description in RNAcentral is "bacterial SSU rRNA". It matches the Rfam family "Bacterial small subunit ribosomal RNA", at positions 30 to 747 of the family's 1533-position model. Lineage: Bacteria; Pseudomonadati; Spirochaetota; Spirochaetia; Spirochaetales; Borreliaceae. The record is from RNAcentral.
CUAACGCUGGCAGUGCGUCUUAAGCAUGCAAGUCAAACGGAAUGUAGCAAUACAUUUAGUGGCGAACGGGUGAGUAACGCGUGGAUGAUCUACCUAUGAGAUGGGGAUAACUACUAGAAAUAGUAGCUAAUACCGAAUAAGGUCAAUUAAUUUGUUAAUUGAUGAAAGGAAGCCUUUAAAGCUUCGCUUGUAGAUGAGUCUGCGUCUUAUUAGUUAGUUGGUGGGGUAAAUGCCUACCAAGACGAUGAUAAGUAACCGGCCUGAGAGGGUGAACGGUCACACUGGAACUGAGAUACGGUCCAGACCCCUACGGGAGGCAGCAGCUAAGAAUCUUCCGCAAUGGGCGAAAGCCUGACGGAGCGACACUGCGUGAAUGAAGAAGGUCGAAAGAUUGUAAAAUUCUUUUAUAAAUGAGGAAUAAGCUUUGUAGGAAAUGACAAAGCGAUGACGUUAAUUUAUGAAUAAGCCCCGGCUAAUUACGUGCCAGCAGCCGCGGUAAUACGUAAGGGGCGAGCGUUGUUCGGGAUUAUUGGGCGUAAAGGGUGAGUAGGCGGAUAUAUAAGUCUAUGCAUAAAAUACCACAGCUCAACUGUGGAGCUAUGUUGGAAACUAUAUGUCUAGAGUCUGAUAGAGGAAGUUAGAAUUCCUGGUGUAAGGGUGGAAUCUGUUGAUAUCAGGAAGAAUACCGGAGGCGAAGGCGAACUUCUGGGUCAAGACUGACGCU